Molecule: long non-coding RNA, 5248 nt
Organism: Uranotaenia lowii
Lineage: Eukaryota; Metazoa; Arthropoda; Insecta; Diptera; Culicidae
Exons: 9
Source: RefSeq, a predicted model, not a curated record
AUUCUCCAAAUCAAACUUGCGUUUUGGUUUCUUUUAAAAAUUGGACUAUUUGUAGUAGGCUAUCUUCGUGAAGUUCUUUUAAAAUUUCCGGUAGAGGUUUCAUGUGUUCUAUUAUUAGAUAGUUGCUUCUAGUGGUGUUGUAUUUAUGGCAAUUGUACAAUACGUGAUUUAGAUCUUCUGUCUCUCCGCAGGUUUCACAUUCGUCGUUGCUUUCUAGGCCCCACUUGGCUCUUCUUUCUUUGGUGAGAGCAUGCCCACUUCGGAUACGAUUAAGAAUUUUGAUUUGAUUGGGUUUUAGGACUAGAUCUUUAAACCAUGCUGCCCUUCCAGGAUGCCAGGUGGUUUCGUCAAAAAUCAGGACGACGCGAAGUACAAAAUCAGGUUUUUUCAAGACACUUCUUGAUUCAUGAAAACAAUAAGGAUUUCUGCCUAGAUUGCAUAAAUAAAGGCGUAAUACAGGUGCUGAAAACGCCUUGAUUUAUGCAACAACAGUACACAACUUGUUGGCUGGCCGGUAGUUCAUAUCGAAAACCACAAUUCAAGUAUCAUCUGAACCGAAGGUUACCAUCUGUUAAAUGGGUUUAACUAUUUUAUAACCUAUUUAUUCGGUUUCCUCAUAAAUUAAACAAGGUGGGUUCCAGCUACAGGUAAGCUGAGAGUGUCUAGAGGUAAGACAGGUAAAAAGGUAAGAUUAUUUUACCAUACAAAUAUUACAUUGAUUGAGUAUAUUAAGAACGUACAAAAAGUUGCCAGCUGGGCAGGUAUCUACACGGAUGCGGAAUACCUGUCGUAGAUUCUUAACUCUAAAUAUGUUAUGAAUUUUAUACGGCUGCGAAACAGUUUGCUCGUUCUACAAGUAAGACAUACACCUACACGAAACAUUUUCAUUUCAUGUCAGUUCACACGAAGCCAUGGUGUCGGGUAUGUGAUGAUUUGCAUUGAAGAUUGGCCGAACUAAAAAUCUAAAGGAUGCAAAUUAACGCAUACGUUGGCGAAACUGCGGUGAAUCCGUGCACCCAUGGUGGAUUAUCUACAUACAUACAUACACGGAAAAAAAUUGCAUGGGCUUUUAAAAUACAGAGUCAUGAUAAUUUUACUAUAUCCAUCAUUUAGUAUUUUCAACCAUGAUUUAGUAUUUUUUACCGAAAAUCUGGGCGAUAAUACUACGAAAUAGUAUUUUUACUAUGCGAACUUUGACAGCUCAUAGUAAUUUUCUCGUGUCUUAAUUACCAUGCGCAUGAUAUUUUGAUGUUACUCAAUUCGUGUUCUUGAAAUUACUAUGCCCAUGGUAAUGUUGAAACACCGUCAUUUGUGUUGUCAAAAAUACUAUGCGCAUUAUAAUUCAUAGUAAUUUUACUAUGUGCUUCGUUCGAGUGUUUGUUUUUUACGGGUCAGCCGUUCGCGAUUUCGGAACGCGAACAAAAAUUAUCGGAUUGUCGGUUUGUCGGAUCGGGAAAUGUAUUCCCUCAGAUUUCCCAGAUUGUGUCGUCGACCAGCUGGAAAGGUUCUCAACGAGCUCUGAACCAACGCACCCGGAGCGGGACAGCAGAUUAGUCUGGUCGGAAAUUUUUCAGUGUCGGUGAAUGCGCUCGAGUUCCUCAACCUCCCUCGAUUUCGGAAAUUGGACAACGUCGGAGGACAUUGUGACGAAAGCUGCUAACCGGUGAGAUGGCCCACUGUUUGCGGAACGCAAUUUCAGUACAUCUGCCGGGCCGUUAAAUGCAGGCUUUCGGACGCUAAGUGUGAUGCAACCCCUGUGUCCCAUUCGUGGGUGGUGCAGGUGCUACCACCAUGAAUUGAACUAUAAUGAAAAAUAAUUUAAUUAAAUAAAAAUUUUAAUUUGGAACAAAUGAAUUUUAUUUCGAGGUCUUUAUACAAUGCCGCAUGGUAAUUUUGUGAUGUCUGUACCAACACGUGAAAAGGAUCUAUCUCCAAAAGUAAACAAAAUCCAUUUUCAGUACCUCUUGAUAGGCCAACAUUUGCACUACUUAACGGUAAAACCCUUUUCAGAAAAUAUUAUUCCGUUACAUUAAAAACUCAAUUUGAGUAAAGGAUCUAUAAACAUUCUGAAGCCAGAACAGCCGUGACAUUGAUAUACACCCUUUACUCCGGAACAUUUUUUCGUUACUACUUCGCACACAAACUCAAAAUAAUCAAUUUGACUCUUUAUUCAACAUUAAAACAUAGUUGCAAAUGUAUGCGAGCUUAUAACUAAAGCUAAAAAUAAGAAAAUAGCAAAGGGUGUAUAAACAGGUUAGACAAAACAUGACGUGAGCAAGGUUCUAUCUACGAUAGCGCGUUGGUUUUCCAUGAAAAUUGAUAUUCCUCUAUUCUAACAUAUAGAGAAUGCUUCUUAAAAUGGUUUGUCUUGCAUAAAAAGCAAAAAUUUCAAGUGAUUUUCAAUAAGGGAUUUAAAAUAGGUUGUAUUUUUAUCAAACGCGCUUUUCUCGAUCCCCAUAUAUGGAGAUCGAUCCUUUUUAUGUGUUGGUAAAGAUUUAACACUUUAUUCAACAUAUAAACAUAGUUGCAAAUGAACGCGAGCUUAAAACUAAAGCUAGAAAUGAAAAAAUAGCAAAGGGUGUAUAAACAAGGGAAACAAAAUAUUAAGUAAGCUAGGUUCUAUCUACGAUAGCGCAUUGGUUUUUCCUGAAAAUUGAUAUUCCUCUAUUCUCACAUGUAGGGGAUGCUUCUAAAAAUCGUUUGUCUUUCAUAAAAAGUAAAAAUUUCAAGUGAUUUUUAAUUAGCGAUUUAAAAUAGGUAGUAUUUUUUUCAAACGCGUUUUUCUCGAUUCGCCAUAUAUGGAGAUACAUCCUUUUCACGUGUUGGUACAGAUGUAUAUCAUGAUAGGUGUGGCAUUCUAAGCUAUAGGCUAUAAUAACCAUCCAAUAGACCGAUCUAAGAUAAGCGUGCAGCGAGCGGAUAAACUCGAUGAACAAGCUCAACGAGUCAGUUAUCGAAGGACCUUCACACGAGCCAGGCAAGAUUGCACAUUGGCGAUUCAAGCCAGGAUUGAAUUGUUCUUGGUGUACGGAGGCAGUGGGGCCGGCCGAUUCAAAUCUGUCUGUCGACUCUUUUGGGAUGAAAAUUUUGUUCAAGGUGCCUGUGUUAUUUUUAAGUUUGUCAAAAAGAAAUAGAACGAGAAAUGUGUUUUCGUCAGAAUCUUUUGUGUAGUUUUGUUCCCUACUGGAGUGUAUUAAAACAGGUGAGAAAAUCCCGCAUAAUCAAGUAUCAUACACUAAAUCGUUAAUAUUAUUCUGUUCUGAUUACAUGAAUAGUUAUUAUUCGAGUAAUCGUUCUUAAAUCUUCUAAUCUUAAGCUAAUUUUUCUGCUUUUCAUGCGUCUUUGCUAGAUAUGAUAAAAAAAUAUAUUUGAAAGAUACAGGUAAUAAUCCUGAAAUCCAAACUCGUGAUACAACUGAGUGUGUCAUGUGUCUUCACUCAACAAAACAAAACAAAAAUGGCGCGUGUGGUUGAAGUGAGCAGAAGCUUGCAGAUCAAAAUCGCAGAUCUUUUUCGCCGAAAGCUGGGAAAUACGUUUUCCGGUGGAGAACCGUAGCGGCGAAAUCGUCGAAGAGGAAGUCGACAAAACGUCCGGCCUAGUUUCUCAGCCACGAUUGCGACCACGAAACAGCUGCUUCCGCUGGAAGAGCAGAAGCUACCAUUCGAAUUCAUUCCCAUCAUCACCACACAGUAGGAAGUUUAUUUUUCUUCUCCCACGGCACAAGAGCACCCGACAGCCGACGUGGCACAGCGGUCACAAUUGGUCAGGGAAGAUAUGCUGAUGGCUCGAAUGUUCGCCGAAACAAAUCAUAACCAAACAGAAUGCGUACUUUCUUGCUGUGAUUUCGUGUCCCAAACCAAACGGAACCAGUUUUUUCUAUUAUAAAAUAUGCUCCGGUAAAAAAGUGCCAGAGUCAACAUGGAUACGUGGAUACUAACACUUCCGGCAUUCUGUCGAAUCCGGGCCAGUGGAAACGACGAGAAAUUCUGCGGUUGAAAUCGCUCAAAAACAGAAAGCUCUGCAGGCACGUCUUCAGCUGCCAUCGUUGUCAUCGGACUCCCGGACAAGUGGUUGGGGGUCGUGCGAGCCCUGUCAGGAUAUGCUUGCAGGAAUUCAGGAACGGAAGAAUCUAUUUUCCAGAGUAAACCUGGACUGGUGAUUCGAAUGGUAAUGGCGGUUCCAAAUGAAAGCAUUCUUGACUUGGAUCGGAACUAUAAUCGUUGAUGGAACGCAUUCAGAGUGGAAUGCCCAAAGGAAGAACAGUCAGCUGAAGGCGGAACAUGCAACUAUUGCCAAACAGCAAUAUUCAAGCUUCCCAGCAUCAAUCGAUUCAUAAUGUCACCAGGUGUACCACUAUCACCAUCAACAGCAGCAACAGUAGGCAUAACUCUGGCGGAAGGAGAAUAUUCAUCGUUCUGGGUCAUCUGGUAAAAUCGAUCACGACGAAACAGCUACCUUCAGUUAUGAUUGAUUUAAAAUUCUGGAAUAAAAUCCGAUGAACGAAAUGAAACCAGCAGCAGUGUUCAAUGGUCAUCAAACGCAGCAAGAAAUCCACUUCCAACUGAAUAGAUAAGUUCGCCAAUCGACAACAGGAGCCGAAAACCAUUCCAUCGGUACAGCGGGAACCUACCUUGGCAUUGUUUACUGGAACUGUUUCUGUAGGAUCCGAAACUGUAUUGUAUUUUCAAAAAUUUAGUGGUUUUCCCUGCUCGAAUGCUGCCUUGACUAUUUUGAGAAGUCCAGGUGAGAAAAGUACUCCGAUGAGUCUCAGAAGAGAAGCUUAUCAAUUUGAAACAAGCUGCUGGAAGAUUAGUUAUUCACUAAGGGUCUGAAUGAAUGACGAUAAUUUUUUUCAAUUGAUUUUUUUUUAUUUUAAAAUAUGUAAAUUAUUGUAUGAAUUUUCUGUGAACAAAUUAAAAAUAAAACAAUAGUUCAAUAAUCAAUUUUAUCACAAAAUGAAUGCUCUGCCUUUUUAUUUUUGAUGGAAAAAGAUAUUUUAAAGAUAACCUGUAGCGUGAGCAAUGCUUGACAAAAAAUUAUAAGAUAACGAUUACAUCUAUCUUUCUGGUGCUUUCAGAACAUUUUGCAUCUAGAAAAAAGCAAAAAAAUGAAUCGUUUAUUUACUUAACAACCCAUUCCCUGUAUCGUUAUUCGUGUCUAAACGAUUCCAUUUGAUGAAAAAACGAUUAGUCUAAUCGUUUAUUUAUAAUCCAAAAACUAUAAAGGUAAUCUUUUGGGUGUCUUGGGA